RNAcentral lists this unclassified non-coding RNA (377 nucleotides) under uncultured Actinomycetes bacterium. RNAcentral's name for it is "uncultured actinobacterium contains 16S-23S intergenic spacer region". Lineage: Bacteria; Bacillati; Actinomycetota; Actinomycetes. The record is from RNAcentral.
UCCGGUUUGGCACCGGCAGUCUCCCUAGAGUUCCCGGCAUCACCCGCUGGCAACUAAGGACAGGGGUUGCGCUCGUUGCGCCACUUAAGGCAACAUCUCACGACACGAGCUGAGGACAGCCAUGCACCACCUGUCACCGCCCCCGAAGGACCCCCCAUCUCUGAAGGAUUAGCGAUGAUGUCAAACCCAGGUAAGGUUCUUCGCGUUGCAUCGAAUUAAUCCGCAUGCUCCGCCGCUUGUGCGGGCCCCCGUCAAUUCCUUUGAGUUUUAGCCUUGCGGCCGUACUCCCCAGGCGGCGGACUUAAUGCGUUAGCUUCGGCACGGACGGGGUCGAUAUCCGCCCACACCUAGCACCCAACGUUUACGGCUAGGACUAC